UGGGGAAUUUUGGACAAUGGGCGAAAGCCUGAUCCAGCAAUGCCGCGUGUGUGAAGAAGGCCUUCGGGUUGUAAAGCACUUUUGUCCGGAAAGAAAUCCUUGGCUCUAAUACAGUCGGGGGAUGACGGUACCGGAAGAAUAAGCACCGGCUAACUACGUGCCAGCAGCCGCGGUAAUACGUAGGGUGCAAGCGUUAAUCGGAAUUACUGGGCGUAAGCGUGCGCAGGCGGUUUGCUAAGACCGAUGUGAAAUCCCCGGGCUCAACCUGGGAACUGCAUUGGUGACUGGCAGGCUAGAGUAUGGCAGAGGGGGGUAGAAUUCCACGUGUAGCAGUGAAAUGCGUAGAGAUGUGGAGGAAUACCGAUGGCGAAGGCAGCCCCCUGGGCCAAUACUGACGCUCAUGCACGAAAGCGUGGGAGCAAACAGGAUUAGAUACCCUGGUAGUCCACGCCCUAAACGAUGUCAACUAGUUGUUGGGGAUUCAUUCCUUAGUAACGUAGCUAACGCGUGAAGUUGACCG
This 520-nucleotide ribosomal RNA is filed under the name uncultured bacterium. Its description in RNAcentral is "partial 16S ribosomal RNA". It matches the Rfam family "Bacterial small subunit ribosomal RNA", at positions 355 to 871 of the family's 1533-position model. The record is from RNAcentral.